RNAcentral lists this transfer RNA (70 nucleotides) under Marmota monax (woodchuck). RNAcentral describes it as "tRNA.Ala". Lineage: Eukaryota; Metazoa; Chordata; Mammalia; Rodentia; Sciuridae. The record is from RNAcentral.
GGGCUGGGGCUCAGUGGUAGAGCGCUCGCCUAGCACAUGUGAACCCCUGGGUUCAAUCCUCAGCACCACA